This is a long non-coding RNA of Gallus gallus (chicken), 2315 nucleotides long. The record is from Ensembl. NCBI's taxonomy places the organism in Eukaryota, Metazoa, Chordata, Aves, Galliformes, Phasianidae.
UUUUUUCCCCUCACCCCCUUUCUACCCCACUGGCUGCUUUCAAGUUUUCUUUUAGGAGGGGCUUCACUUUGUGUUAUCCUUACAUAUAAAAAUUCCCAGUAAGUAUUUUCAGAGAUCUGUGAGGUCAUAUUAGCCUGGAUUCCCUUCAUGCUUCUCUGGUGGAGGUAUAUUUGUUAUUUUGUCACCUAUCGGAGGCCCUGAUAUAGCUGCAGGUGACUGGGAAGGGACAUCCUUCCUUUGUAGCAGUAAAAUACUCACAGCCUCCUUUAUCACAGAACGUGCACCCUGCAACAGCCUCUAAGGGAAUGAAAGCAGAAAAAUGCUGCAGCUGCCAUGAAGAGGCAAAAAUUGAAACUAGCUCCAGAUUUAAAUUUCAGAGAGAUUCAAACAUCAGCAUUCUCAGCACUACCUUUUCAAAAAUACAACGCAGGGGAGUUCUGCCCAGUAUGGGAACAAGCUACUAAUGAGCAGAGGAGAACUUCAUCCCAGAAGAUAGUUAUUAGAAAUCAAGGUGGAGGUAAAUGUAGCUUGAAAGAUCCAACCAAAACUGUCUGCCAAACAUACUGCUUUUUGAUAAUUGUGGCCUUCCAUAUACUCCAGCUACCUUUUAAUCAGUGGGAAUUUGUUUACAGGAGAAUUCUGAGAUCUGGUAACUUUCCUAUCCCUUUUCCAGGCUAUCUGUUUACCUUCUGGUAUCUCAGAAGCAUUCAGCAAAUAAGUCUCCAGAAAGACUGUUUGAGAACAGCUCCUACACAAGACUGUAACAAUAUAAGGAGGUGCACUUCAGAGUAGAAAUAUGAACCCUAAUAAUAGGUUUUUACUUAACAAUAUAAUCUCAUUUUUAGAAUUCUUGGGUUUGCCUCCUUCCAAAACAGCUGUGCUGUCUUGAUAAGAUUUUUAGGUUAUAAACAAGCAAAUAAAUAUCAGAAAUUGGACUUGUACAUGAAUAGGACCUAACAUUAUUAUUUUCCACUUCCUUCCCUUCCCCCCCCCCAACCCCCCCAAGUAUUUUCAUAGUCACACAUUUUCCUGUAAAGUGUAACCAUUACUGACCCCAUUACUAACAAAUCUCUCAGAAAACCCCACUUAAUAGGGAGAAACAUGAAAACCUCAAGAAACAAAAGGUAUCUGAUUUCCAAACAGAAUGCCUAUUUAAGACCAAACCUCAUUAGGGACAAGUCCUCCAGGCAAACAUCCUCUCAUUAUUUAUUGUCAUGGUUUACUGCAGAUUCCUCCGUGUAAUUCACAGUUGGCUUUUAAAUAAAUCUCUCUGUAUGGUAAAUGUGAUAUUCCUUCAUUUAAGCAGCAGGGUUAUCUUAAAACUGAGCAAGACCAAAAUUUCAUAUUUCAAAACUCAUAAACAGCUUAGAGCAUGACAGUAAUGCAAUGACGAGAAGAAAAAGUAUGACUGACAACAUAUGGUUGAAGAGUUUGGUAGCAGUGGUUAUACAAUGUAAUUCAUUUCAUGAUAAUAUAAGUCAGACUGCAAAGCAAAAGCAAUUAGGAAAUAAGUGAUGAUAAUGAAGAAUUACUCAUGGUGAGGAACUUCUCUAUAGUGGAAGGAUGGUUCUGUGUUCUAAUCAACAGUUAAGGCCUUAAAGCCCUGGAUUUAAAGCUCAGUAUCCUAUCCUUGGUCCUGAUUUUUAGAGGGUCAGUUGGGCCCAAGAGUAUGAAAAGUUCUGAGGUACUCUCAUCUGUUGGUGAAAUUGGUCCACAACUCCUACAGCUCAAGUGAGCAUCUGGAAAUGGGCAGGAGACAGCUGGAAGCUGGAAAGCUUCUCUUUCUCCUAAGGCAUACUGUGGUUUCCUUGCUUAUCUUAUCCAGGAGAUGGAAGUCUGGGAGAUCUCCCUACAUACUUUAAUCACAUCAAAGGGUUAACUAUGAUUUUGCCUAAGAUGAAAAGUGCUUGACCAUGAAUUCCAAUUCUUAUUGCAAUAAGAUGCUGAGAAUGGUUAAAGGAGCCCGGAGUACCUCCAUAAUUUGCAUCUCUGAUUAGAACAGGGUGAAGUUCUCUUCAAGGAGAAAGUCCUCUGGUGUGAUCCAUUUUUCUCCUGUAGCUAAAAAUUCUUGGGCUGAUUCAGCACCUGGGCUGAUGAGUUGGCCCCUGGAAGCACUCACCAUGGUUGCUCUUGAGGAAGCUGGAGGGGCAGCGCAGCGGAAAGUUUCUCUCCUCACCAGAGGACAUGCACGCAGCCCAGUGCUUGCCAGGACAAUGCCUCCUCCAUCCCUUUCUUGGCUCAGAGCACAGCGUCUACCACUACUCAUAAAAAAUACUGUCUCUUAAAUUUCAUAUUUACCACUUUGCGUAACAGAU